CUGCUGGGUCGGGGCAUUAACA
RNAcentral lists this microRNA (22 nucleotides) under Drosophila ananassae. RNAcentral's name for it is "Dan-Mir-1000_3p* (star (passenger))". The record is from RNAcentral. Lineage: Eukaryota; Metazoa; Arthropoda; Insecta; Diptera; Drosophilidae. RNAcentral also lists the same sequence under 4 other names.